Molecule: ribosomal RNA, 500 nt
Filed under: uncultured Glomeromycotina
Lineage: Eukaryota; Fungi; Glomeromycota
Description: partial small subunit ribosomal RNA
Rfam family: Eukaryotic small subunit ribosomal RNA
Source: RNAcentral
CCAAUAGCGUAUAUUAAAGUUGUUGCAGUUAAAAAGCUCGUAGUUGAACUUCAGGCCUGUCCAGACGGUCCGCCUUAAUUGGUGUGUACUGUCCUUGGGUGGGUCCUACCUUCUGGCGAAGCGGCAUGGCCUUAAUUGGUUGUGUCGGGGAACCAGGACUUUUACUGUGAAAAAAUUAGAGUGUUCAAAGCAGGCAAAUAUGCUCGAAUACAUUAGCAUGGAAUAAUGGAAUAGGACGAUGGUUCUAUUUUGUUGGUUCUAGGACCGUUGUAAUGAUUAAUAGGGAUAGUUGGGGGCAUCAGUAAUCAAUUGUCAGAGGUGAAAUUCUUGGAUUUAUUGAAGACUAACUACUGCGAAAGCAUUUGCCAAGGAUGUUUUCAUUAAUCAAGAACGAAAGUCAGGGGAUCGAAGACGAUCAGAUACCGUCGUAGUCUUAACCAUAAACUAUGCCGACUAGGAAUCGGGCGAUGUUGACAAAAUGACUCGCUCGGCACCUCAUG